RNAcentral lists this ribosomal RNA (222 nucleotides) under Flavobacterium sp. Its description in RNAcentral is "partial 16S ribosomal RNA". It matches the Rfam family "Bacterial small subunit ribosomal RNA", at positions 202 to 423 of the family's 1533-position model. Lineage: Bacteria; Pseudomonadati; Bacteroidota; Flavobacteriia; Flavobacteriales; Flavobacteriaceae. The record is from RNAcentral.
UAAAGUUCCAACGGUAACAAGAUGAGCAUGCGUCCCAUUAGCUAGUUGGUGUGGCAACGGCACACCAAGGCAACAAUGGGUAGGGGUCCUGAGAGGGAGAUCCCCCACACUGGUACUGAGACACGGACCAUGACUCCUACGGGAGGCAGCAGUGAGGAAUAUUGGUCAAUGGCGCAGGGUCUGAAACAGCCAUGCCGCGUGCAGGAUGACGGUCCUAUGGAU